AAGGUGUGGCUAUAAAGUUUAGGAGAGAUGGAUUUAGGAAUUUCGAUGUAUGUAUGUAUGUUGGGGGGUGUUCCUCCGUCUUGGGGCCUAGUUUCUGGGGAUCGAGGCAACGUUUUGCUGGAUGCAUUGGCCCUAUGGCGUCUGGGUUGAAUGGAAGGCCGGAUGGCUUUCUUCGCUCCUCAGCCUGGCUCACUCGAUGCAAGGUGGAUGCAAGCGUUGCAUCAGUGGGUGCACGCGCGUGGCAGGGGUCUGGCGUCCGCUCACCUCCUCCCUCUCAUUUUCAUCUUCCCAUUCUCAACUGCUCUCCUCUUCCCUCUCUCCCUUGCCGCCGCCGCCUCCACCAAAUCCCCUACGGUCACCACCACUCGUUCGGCGUCUUCUCCGAUGGUGGACUGGCGGCCGACCUCGAGCUCCCUCGGCCGACCCCGGUGGAGAAGCUGCAGCCGCUAUUACAUCCCUUGCCAUCUCCAUCGCCGGCUUCCUCGCCAUUGCCGGCGCCGCCUCUCUUUUCUGUCGCCACAAUCGCCUUCUCCGACCGCCAGGCCACCAGAUCCGGCGACCAUGGUGGCGUUGAGCAGCUAGGAGCAGCUGGGAGCGCCGGUGAAGCAAGUCAACGAUGAGAUUGAGGGGAUUUUUUUUUGUUUUCUCUUUUCUAUUUUCAAUUGAGAGAAGAGCGGAGGAGCGCGCGUGGCAGAUCCGUAUGAGAGGCCAGCGACGGAGGAGCGUGGUACUGGCCGGCCGGCGGCAGAGGAGCCGGGAACGGCUGGCAGCGAUGAGGCAAGAACUCCUCUCCUCGACGACAAUGAGGAGGACAAACGCUUCUAUCUUUCUUUUCUUUUUUUUUCCAGCGCUUUGCAGUCAAAUGGUGGGGAAAUUUUGGUGACUUUUUUUUUUUGAGAACUCAACAAAUUUCGCUUUGGUGCAAAGAAUGCUGGCUGAUUUUUAAUACCAAUAUUAUUCUUUGUAUGUGAAAAAUUGUUUAUACCUAUUGUCUAGAUUUGAAAUUUUUGUAUGGGAUAUUAUAGAGGUAACCUCACCCAAUUAAAUGAAGAGGUAACCAGACUCAAAUCUAUCCAACCAACCAAACAAAAUAUUUUCCAAACCGCAUCUCUCAUGCACUCAACCAAACAAAAUCUCAUCUCAGCCGGGCUAAACCGAUGCAAACAACCAAAACAGUUGCAUGUGUAUCUCUUCAUCUGGGCUAGACUCAACCAGGAUGAAAGAGAUGAGCCAGGCUAGGAAAAUGCAAGCAACCAAACACACCCAAUUGUUGCUGUGGUGUGGUGGAUGACUCAGGCUGGGCCGUGGUUGCUCUCAUGAGUCAUAGCAAAUGGGUUGAUGGCGUCUAUUCUUGAUUGUGCUUUUGAUGCGUUCUUCGGUAGCAAUGUUUGUUCUCUAGCAAUAGCCCAUGGAUCAAUAUGGAUUAAGCAAACCCUUGGGCCUUCCGGUGCUAAUUAAGGAGUUUUGUCAUGUGUGGUUCACAUUAUCAAUGAGAUUUUGUUUUAGGACCUUGUUACAGUGCAAUGAGUCUGCGUUCAGGAUUUGUGGUUGGUUGGGAUGACAAAUUGGGGAAAAUGUGUUACACCUUAGUAACAGAUCUGGUUUAGGAUAGCCAGAUAAACGGUACAUAUGCCUAUUGAAGUGUAAUUUAUGGAUGUAUUCCCUAUAUUUCCCCCCCUAUUUUGACACAAAUCCAUAGCUUACAAAACAACCACUGUAUGAAACUUCUAUCAGGAUCAUGAGCAAGUUUGCAAGGGGUCUUAUUACCUGGAAAUGAUCAACUUGUAUUUACUUUGUAAAGGUCGUGUUACUGAAAUAUGAAUUUGUUCUUGAAUAUGUUUACUCUCUAAAAGCCUAACAUGUCAUCGAAAAUAUGGCUACCAAAUGCUUGCCAUUUCAUAAUUAUCCAGAAAUUUCUUAUAUAAAAGUGUUGCUUUAUUCAAAAGCACAUCAACACUGAUUUUCAUUUGUCACCCAGCUUUGGGGAUUAGGUAAAUGAAUCAACUUUAGUUGUGAUAUUGGGGUCCAUGAAAGAUUGGGAAAAAUUAAAUAUAUUGGACCUUUGCCGAGCAAGGUUCCGAUUCUCCCUGAACUGUGGUAGUCUUAGUCAUCUUUCUUGGAUUUGUGCAACACAUGGAUUGACUGGUUAUGCUGUAUUGUAAUGUAAUGUCAUGGACUCGAUUUGUCCUAAUCUUUUGCUAAUUACACUAUAUGUAUUAUGCCUUUUUUUUUCUUUUCAGCCAUGAUUCCCUGUUCACUGAAUUCUGAAUGUAGAUGGUUCACAUUGUAUCCAACUACCAUAAAUCAUGAGAAAUUUAGUUCAAUCACACCUUCAUGUCAUACAUAGAAACAUCGAUGGGCAUUAAAUUUUGUUUACACAUUGCACUUCUAACUAAUUUCUCUAGACCACAUAAGCUGUGCACUCAUUUUGGAUUGUUUCUUUGAUCUGUGUUCAAAUUUCAAAUGCUCACAAAAAAAAAUCUCUACAAUAUCUCUAUCAUCAUGUAAAAAAAACUAACAUAUGUAAUAUGUCUUGAAUCCCACAAUACUAUACAGAUGUUCAAACACAAAUCUCUUUCAUCAAUAGUUGUUAGUUAGUAUAUUUUGCAGAGAGUGUGUGCUAGACAGCUACGCUUGUUGCAGCUUAUGUCAUGGCAUCAAAUCAUUAGUUUUUUUUAUUCAUUAUAGUUUCUUUGCUUUGAGUUGUUCUACUCCUAUAUGCUAACAAUUGAAAACAUGCUCCAAAUUGCAAAUUAUGUCAGUUUCAAUUACCAUAUGAUUUGAUCAACACACACCUACCGCCUCAACAACUUUCACCUGCUUUGUAUUGACCUGCAUGUGUUCUCAUCGGAGUUCUUCGUCAUCGUAGUCUUGCAUUAGUCAUCAUGACUGACAAGUUCACUCUAACUCCAUUUGGUAGUAAUUUUUACUUAAAAACAGGGUGUUUAAUUGUUAAGCAAUGCAAGAUCCAUUUCUUUGUAUAGGUCCAAAUUAAAUGCAUACGACAACCAACUCCACUAGCAAGAUCGGUUGCGUCAUUGUUUCAUAGUGGUGGGGCUGUACAAGCUACUAGUAGAUCAUGAAGCCUGGUUGUCUUCCUAUAUAAGGAUUGGUUUCAGAUCCUUGGGAGACUUGACCUCUGCAUGGUCAUGGAAGUUAUGUGUAUAGUGGCAGUACCUUGUGUAGUGUCUCGUGUAUCAGAUAUUGUUUGAUAUCAGAUUCCUAUUAUCAACUCAGUAUGAUUGCUUGCACUUAGCUUUCCUGGCCAUCCUUUUCCGUAGUAUCUUUGUUAGUGAGUUCAUGUUUCUAUCCUCACUUUCAGACAGAAUCUCUGAACAUUGGUUUUUCUCUCAGAAGCUAGAAGAUAAUUUAUUUUGAGUUCGGUUCUCUACAUCUUAUCAUAAUUUACAGAGUUUUCCAUUCACUUUUGCAGUUUCUAGCUAUGUUUGCCACAUGUAUAUCAAAUAUAGUGUCAUGGGAGGAAUCCAUCGCUGCUCUUGGACCAGCAAAGGGCAAUGCAUUGCCAUUGGUGGGUGGAAUCAAGGUUGGCUAUUGUAGUGAAAGGCAAACUAGAGGCCCUCUUGUUGCAAAGAUGUGGUGGAUCCUUAACUACACUGCGAGCCUCCCAGGCCUCACCACCAUGAAUUGCCCAUCUAUGCCCUCCCAACCCAAGCCCCAGCUCGGUAAACCCUCGUAAGAGGGGUUCCUUGUUCUGCACGUGCCCAUCGACCACUCCUGCAAACCGUUCUCCUGCCAAACGCGGUUGAACUCAUCGGUGUUUUUUUCCUUCAUGGGAUAGCACUGGUGAUACCUAACUAUAUAUAUUUAGCAUAUAGUUUCUCACCUCAUAGGACCAUCCUAUUUUCGCCUCCAUUAACCGGCUUGGUUUUGCUGUGCCUUUUGUUUUGGAUGGUGCAUUGCAUUGUGAUUGCAAGGUUGCAGUAUUUGCCGAAUGAACUGUACUUGAAGUGCUAAUUGAUUUGCUGAUCUGAUCCCCAUGUGACACCUCGUGCCUGCCAAUUUUUGAUAUUGCCCUUGAGAUGGGGGCACUAUAGCCUCUUUCGGUGGCCAUAGUGCUGUUUAUAAACUGGAAUUGCUGGAUAAAGUGGCCUUAUUAUUCAUCCCUUCCUAACAUCAUUUGGCACCAUUGUGUUGUUCCAUCCAUUCCAGGCAUUAUUUUGCCUAUAUUUUAGAGUAAUAUUUGACUCAGGGUUGCACAAUGGAGACAUGGGGUAGUUACAGUCUCUAUUAUUUUCAUAUUCCACAGGGUUGCCCCAUGGAGUUGUUACAGCCUUACAGGCUAAGUACCACUGUACUACACAAUGCAUCUUGUUUCCCACUAGUUGGGUUUCUCACUUUUGCCAUGGAUCUCGUCUCAAUCUCGGCCUCCUGCCUGCGUCUGUUCUGCUUGUCUUUGCUGCAAAGGUCCAUCCAUACUGUCACCUGCACUGCUCUAGUAGUAAUAAGAUCUGAUUCACUUGCUCUGCCACUGGCGAAAAGGACGGCACUGGAAUUUUUGUAACCUGACACCUGACAGGAUAUGUGGACUCCUACGUGUUUCUUGUAUGCCGUUUCACCGGCAGAUUGCUCUGUUGCUUUGCAUGAUAUACUACCUUGUGAGUUGUGACUGGUGCCUCGUCGGUUGUCACGGUGAGUUUGGCAUGGUUGCUCCAUCAGAUGAUGUCCUUAGCUGGAGAAGCACUUAAAUCCGUUAGAAGUAUAGUGAUGAUGUUGGUUUAGAUCCUACUGCCCUUGCGUGUGGAUCAAUUUUAGCAGUAGAAAACGUAGUAAGGUUUACUGGGGGUGAAAACGGUUGUAAUCGAUAGCAUCUCUAGAAACAAAGCUUGAUCUAUCUGUAAUUGAUCAUAUCUAUUAUUUAAACUGCUCGGUAUCCAUAUUAAUUUC
Molecule: non-coding RNA, 4905 nt
Organism: Oryza sativa Japonica Group (Japanese rice)
Lineage: Eukaryota; Viridiplantae; Streptophyta; Magnoliopsida; Poales; Poaceae
Source: RefSeq, a predicted model, not a curated record